CCAAAGAAUGAGGGCGGUAUGGGAUUCCGAGACCUUUACUCCUUUAACCUAGCAAUGGUUUCGAAGCAAUGCUGGCGGCUUGUCACUGACCCACAUUCUUUAUGUGCCCAGGUGCUGAAGGCGACGUACUUCCCAAACUGCAGCAUACUCGAAGCCACUUUGAAAAAUGGCGCAUCUUUUACCUGGCAAAGCAUCAUGAAGGGAGUUGCUACGUUCAAACUGGGAUAUAUAUGGAGGAUUGGGAAUGGUGAGAGCAUCAAUAUUUGGAAUGACCCUUGGGCACCAGCAAGUCCAGAUAGAAAAAUUAUCUCUGCACGUGGGCCGACUGUGUUGUCAAGAGUUAGCGAUCUAAUAGACCCAAAUAUUGGGAUGUGGGACGAAGAUAUUCUUCUAUCUAUCCUGAACCCAGUGGACGUUCAGAGAGUGCUGCAAAUCCCACUUAGUUACAACUCAUUUGAGGAUUUCAUCGCUUGGCAUCCAGACCGAAUGGGAAUUUUUUCAGUAAGGUCUGCGUACAAACUGCAAUGGAGUCAUACCUACCAGGCGCAGAAAAACUUAAGGGAGAGACCGGGGGGUUCAAACUCACCUGAAAUAUGGACGAGGCUAUAGAAGCUAAAAGUUCCACGAAAGGUUUCAAUCUUCUGUUGGCGUUCGCUGCAUGGAAUAAUACCCUUAAAAUCCAUACUUACUAAUAGGCAUGUUGGUUCAGAUAGUGCAUGUCCAAUAUGCCACCAGGGACCCGAGGAUGUGCGUCACUUGUUGUUUGAUUGCUCUCAUGCAUUAUCUCUAUGGGGUCAGCUGGGUAUUCUAUAUAUAAUUGAAGAGGCUAAAAAGAUUGACCGGUCAGGCUCAGUCAUUCUGGAACAUCUACUAACAGCUGAUGACUGUCCUGCUCCGCUCAAACCAAACUUAGAUAUAAAGCAGAUUAUUGCGGUGGAAGUAUGGUACCUUUGGUGGAUUCGACGACAAGUUACACAUGAUGGUAAACGCCUGGACCCAGCAAAAUGGCCUAUUUCUGUCCUUGCAAUCACAAAUAACUACCACGAAACCUUUUCAAAGAAGCACACCGAUCCGGUGAAUACUUGGUGCAGACCUGAACCGAAGUUUGUGGAACUGAACGUCGAUGCAGCGUUUCAUGCUGAUGUAGGGGCUGGAGCAGUAGCCGCAGUUCUAAGAGAUAGCAAGGGGAAUUUUUUUGGCUGCUCAAUGCAAAUACUUUCCUCAUGCCUAUGA
This 1233-nucleotide ribosomal RNA is filed under the name Triticum aestivum (bread wheat). Its description in RNAcentral is "partial small subunit ribosomal RNA". The record is from RNAcentral. Lineage: Eukaryota; Viridiplantae; Streptophyta; Magnoliopsida; Poales; Poaceae.